UGAUACAUAUGUGAGGAGUGUGGUCUCUUGAAAUAUUUUCUUUGGGGAAAGAAAGCAGAGGGACAAAAAGAGUACCAUCUUGAAUUUUUCUUGAGUUGAGGUUAUUGAACACGUAGUGUAUUAAAUGGAGUAGAAUUUCCAUAAUGAAGAUGUUUUACAUUUUAAAUAUCUUCAUCACAUCUUAUUGAGUAACUAUUGGUAUGCACAUCUUAAUUACAACAAACUGUAAAGGAUUGGUUGUUUUUUAUCCACAUAAAUUAUUUUGUGGGCCUCUGGGUUUCUUUCUUGGAUACCGAAAGAACCUCUCCCAAAAUGUAUGCAAAAUAUACAGUUUGGAGAUAAUGACAGGUGUGUGUAUAUGUUUUCUUUUUUUUUCACAAUUUCCUUACUUCUUUGCAGCCUUCCACCCAUUGUUUCAGUGGAAUUUAUUACUUUAGGAGAAGGCUAAAAUAGCUGAUCCCAAAAAGUCAAUUGAGUUUCUGAACUUAUUUUUUAAAGUUCUCAAAGAGAGAAUACUUUUUGAAAGCUGAGACUUUUAGUAUAAAAGCCUGAGCUGGAAAGCUUAAGAUUUUGGAAGUUUCAAUGCCCAGAGUUUAUACCAAACCACAUGAGUAUUUUGCUGCCCAAAAGAGAUCAGGUUUGAGCAGCAGGUACCCAGGGGGAAAAACAGAAGUUAGAGGCUAAUGAGGAGCUGAAGCAAGUUUUUAGUGCUCUGCUUCCCUCCUACAGAGCCUUUGGGGAACCUGAGGAUAGGAUGGGAUAGGAUAGGAUAGGGUAGGAUAGGAUAGGAUAGGAUAGGAUAGAUUUGGGGCCCUGUACCUUGAUUCCUGAUGAAGGUCAAGAGAAAGAAAGCAAUUCUUGUAGGUAAGUCCAUUCCAGCAUGGUUUUGCAGUAGCAAAGUAUAAAAGGUGACAGGAAGGUCUAGGCAGAGAAAGUCUUAAGUAGCACCCCAAAAAGCCUGCAGCCCCUAGAGAUGCCAGAUUCAAAAAUCCCCAUUCCCCUGAGAUGAGUGUGGCCAUUUACAUUUACCAUUUUUUAACACACAAAAUUCGUAAUGGCUACAAGUGAGUCACUGCAGUCUGAUUUUCCUUUCUCAUGUCUAGAUGUCAAAUAACCCAAAGUCUCUGGAGUCAUCUGUGUGACCUUCAAAGACCCAUCAACCUGAGAACAGAGCAGUAGGAUGCAGGUUUUAAACUUCUUCAAAGUAAGAGGAAGAAAAGAAGAUGAAGCAGCUGAGUCCAAUGUAGUGAGCAUCCUGAGCCAGUGCAAUACUAGGUUGUCUUCAAAUAUUAAUUACAUAUAUUUGAAACUUAAAACCAUCAUAGAAUUUUCACUUAAAAUAGUGGAUAACAAACAUAGGUAAGAAUGGUAAGAAUGAAGAGCAUGGGGGAAUAUUACUGACAAGGGUCAAGGGAAAUGGUCUUAUUGGUCUCAACAUUUAUUUUGAUUUUGAGUCCAUCUAUUUUUCAGAAUUCCAUUAGAAGGCAUUCCGUUAUUGCUACCAAGUGUCACCAAGUGACUCUCAUACUGAUACUGGUCACAAUCUGGAAAGCCUUCAGAGGAUUUGCUAUGCUAAAAAAAAAAAAAGGCUUGAGAAAGGUAUUGUUAAUUCAGUAUCUCUAGGUUUCAGGGUGAUUUAAAAAAAACUCAUAGGAUCAGGGCCACCUCUAUGUUGUACGCGGCUCUAGAAAUACAUUUUUUUUGCAGGGCCCUGUUUAUAGAAACACUUUGAUUAAAAAACAUAAAGUCACUGGACCCCUGUGAGGUAUAAUCAUUUAUCAGUGAAGAUUUAGAAUAAUGGAUGGACAAGUGUUACUUCUGUGUUUGUUAUGUGUCCAGUCAGCACCUGUGAAGGUCCUCAUGCUCUCUGGGCACUAGCUCUUCCUGUUUAGGUCCAGGGACCUUCUCUCUCUUCUCCUUUUUGUCAGAUGCACCAUUCCUGGCUAACUUCAUAUCUCCCACUGUGGGAAAAAGGUAAGAAAUACAUUCUUAGUCCCCACACUCUUUGGAGCCUGUUGGUAUUAAAGCAGUAUGGACUGAUUUUACCUCUUCAGCUCUCCCACAGUCCUCUGUUCAGUGCUGGUCAGGUCAGUACUCAUGACACCUCAUCCUCUUUGCGCUGCCCGUGAAUAUGGGCCUCCAGUGACUCAUAAGCAUCAUUAACCAAGCUUCUUUGCCUAUGACCGCAAGGGUGAGUUUUACCCGGACAAUGCAGAAAAGUGGGAACAGUCAUUUAUUUUUUUGGUCAUGUUAAAUUGACUGCUUGCAAUUACAUAGCGUAAAUGUAGAAUAACACAUCUUCAAGUAUGUCUUCUCUCAGGUGCUGCAGACUAGUGAUCUCCUUCAGUGUUGACAGUGGGAGAGGGUCCUGCGGGCCCAGCAGAAGAGUGGUUCCAUACCUACAAAAAAGCCAACAUGAGAAAAUGCAAUGUUAGCACAUUGAUCAGAGACAAGGGGACAUGUGUUACAAGGGUAUGUGAUACAGUUAACAGUCUCCAAAAACCUUGGAGGAGAUGAGGGACUCAGGCAUUCCUGUAGACUGACAUGUGGCGAGGAGUGUGUCAGGGGACAGUGGCGACCCUUAGGCCAGCAAUGAGGGUGGGGCGUCCUGAUGUUGAAGGACCCCCGCUGCCACCCCGCUACCCUGGGGUUUUGUAGAUUGGAGGCAGCACUGCAGUGGGAACACUGACAAGCCCACAAAUGCCAGGCUCAAGUCCAAAAGUGGUUACUUCACCCAUUGCCCUGAAUAAUCCUAUGUCCGAUGUGAGUGAGUCACCCAAAGUCAAUAUGCCAGCACCCACGCUGGCAGCCCAGUCGUAUGCAAGGAAACAGCAUGCUGGCUAUUGAGGGGGAGGGGACCUGUUUGCCAGGCUAACCUCCUGGAACACAUCUGGACCACAGGCCCCAGAAAACCGAAAGGUGUGAGGUCAGGGGUUCCUUGGGGCAUCUGAUUGAAGCCACCCUGGGACAGAAGGUUGGAGAGUGCCCUGAAAAGAAGUGGAGGCUAGCACCCCUGCAGGCACUGGUCUGGGAUGGGGCUGUCAGACCUGGAUGGCACUGCUAGCCAGCCCUGGGAGAUCCCAGGCAUCUGAGGAAGACUUAGAAACAUUUGCACAGGUGCUCUGAUGGGAUUGGGCCACUUGCCUGGACCUAAGGUUGGUGCCGUGUAGGGUGUUUUGUCGUAGAUCUGGAAGCAUGCAGGGAUCAUAUGUAGAGGGCCAUACUGUUGACUCAGAGCUGGAUACAUGUUAACCCUUCAGUUUGCAAUGGUCUGUCAGAGUGCAGGGGUAGUUUUCCAAAAAACAACACCUGUAUAAUAAUUUGUUAGGGAAGCGUAUAUAUGUGUGUGUAUUCCCCUAACACAUGCAUGUGGUCACAUAUAUACAUUUGUAUAUACAUUCAUAUAAAAAUAUAUAAGCACAUAAUUUAUACUUUUUUAUAAACAGGUAUAAACAUAAACGUAUAUGUCUUUCACACGUAUAUCUCUUUCAUUUGAUAGAAGAAUUUGGCUUCAUUAAUUCAUUUUAAUUGAUUUUUUCAUUCAUGUAACCUAUUUAUUGCAAAGCAACCAUUUUCAUGUUUUUGAUCCAAUAAAGUAUUCCAAUAUGUGAAAUCAUGACACUAAUAUGACAUUAGUCUUCAUUUUUUUUUUAUUUUUUUUAACGUUUAUUUAUUUUUGAGACAGAGAGAGACAGAGCAUGAACGGGGGAGGGUCAGAGAGAGAGGGAGACACAGAAUCAGAAGCAGGCUCCAGGCUCUGAGCCAUCAGCCAAGAGCCCGACAUGGGGCUCGAACUCACGGACCGUGAGAUCGUGACCUGAGCUGAAGUCGGACGCUUAACCUACUGAGCCACCCAGGCGCCCCGUCAUUUGUUUUUAAAAUAAUCUCUAGGCCCAACAUGGGGCUCAGAUUUACAACCCUGAGAUCAUGAGUCGCACGCUCUUGGGCGCCUGGGUGGCCCAGGCGGUUAAGCGUCCGACUUCCUUUGGGUCAUGGUCUUGCGGUUUGUGAGUUCAAGCCCCACGUCGGGCUCUGUGCUGACAGCUGGGAACCUGGACCCUGCUUCAGAUUCUGUGUCUCCAAGAGUCGCAUGCUCUACCCACUGAACCAGCCAGAAGCCCAUUUCUUCACUUCUUAAGGGAGCUGGAUAGAUACACUUAUGGCACCUUGGUUUCUCUUUACAACCAUAUUUUCUUUAUGGCUGAUACUUUUGUGUAAUUUUGUAUAAGUUGGGAGAUUUCUUACUAAUUUGACCCUGCUUCUCUAGUCUUUUUCCUUUCAGUAUAUAGUACUUCUUGUCAUAUUUUCAAAAGAAUACUUUAUAAAGAAAAAAUAUUCAGCAAAUAAAGGAAAUGAAAACCCCAAUGGAUGUUGUGUAAGAAUAGGAUUGUAUCAUUACCAAUGAAAUUUUCUUUCCUAUAAACAAAAUGAGGAACAAGACUAAGAAGUAUUAAGUAUGCUUAAAUAUGCUGAGGUCUUGGAAAUUGUAACUGUAAGAACGUGUAUCACUGCACCGUGCUUAAGGGGUAUAGCUUUCUCAUUCUCUACAUUCACUGGAAUUUUGAGAAGUAGUGCCAAGUAUAUGUUGUGAGCUUUGUGCAUUCUGAACUCAGUGGCAAUGCAAGAGGCUCCUGGUUUGGUGGCCACAUCUCAGGUUCGAAGAGGGAGGCAGUACAGGGGCAGAGUGGGCUGCGUGGUGAGGCAGUGGUGCAUAUGGGCCUCAAGGGCUGGGCAGUGGUUUGGAAAUUGCAGUAGUGGAUGUGGUGAGGUGCUGCCCAGAUGCCCCUUCAGGAGGAGACAGACACACAUCGCCCAGCUGCAAGGAGAGCUGGCUGCUGAUGGAUCUCAGCUGAAUCCCUCUCUGAGAACUGCCUUUUGCCAAAGGUUAUACCUCCUUCCUGGGAGGAAGCCCACCUCUGGUGCCUGGUCAAAGGGGGGUGGAGGGCACAGCACCUUGACAUAAUUUCUGACAUCCUGAAAGACCACCCCAGCUCCAGAGCUUCAGAUGGGAUCCACUGAGGCCUGAGUUGUGGACGCAUCAUGGUUCACCUUCCCCCUUUGCCCAGUCCCGUACCCCUUGCUCCCUCAAGGGGCUUCCUGAGAGCUCCCCAGUAAGCCCUGCAUGCAGAUCUCAGCAUCUCACUGUCGGUUUCCAGGAUGCCUGAUGUAAGAUAGUAACAGGCUUUCAGGCAGAGGGUGGCUUUGGGAAACAGUCGAGAUGUCCAGUUGGCUGGGGUGUUGUGUUGAAUGUAGGGGCAAGUGAGAUAGAAAUGUGGCAAAGGGGCAGGUCUGGGCGGUGGUGAGGAUCUGCAGUUUUGAGCACAGGGCAACCUUAUGGCCAAUUUAGGUCAAAUUACCAAAAAAUUUUGUGGUAUAUCUCAGGGACCAUAUUAUAAUGAGAAAAGUAACUGAAAGAAGUUGGUUUAUAAUGUACUGUCAUUUUGAGAUGCAAAUCCCAUCAUUAGUGAACCAUAGUUUUUAAAAAAGUUUUUCAGGAAACAGGGAUAGAUCUGAGAGGAUUGUCUACAUAAGCAAUCUCCACAUGCAUUUACAAAAUAGCUGGUAAGGGUUAAAGAGAUUGCUUCUUCACUUUCGAAUACUUGUUCCUAGGUGAACAGAGAGUAUGUCCUACUAGGUAUUAGAGAUUAUGUAUGUCCUCUCUGAACCUACAAUAACCCUGCAAGGCAGUAUUAAUGUACCAGUUUUAGGGAUAGGGAAACUGAGGCUUGGAUGGAAUAAGGGACUUGCCUGGUGAGUAAGGGGUAAAGAUGGGAUUCAAUCCCAGAUUUCUUUAACUUAGAAGCUUCUGCUGUCCAAAUCAGAUGAGCAGGUCUCAUGGAGCCCAUGACCUGGGCCUCGUGCUCCAGGGCUCUGACUCACCAGGCCUAAGUGGUGACCAAGACAUGUGCUUAUUAACCCUUGUAAGUCAUCUGUUCAAGCAACCAAAGUGGCUCUUCAGUAACUUAACCGUUGAUUUCAACAACGGCUCCUUCUUCAGUCACAAUAAUCAUAAAUAGCACUUCUAUUUUUAUUAUUUGCAGAGCCCUUUCUAUGCAUCGUGUUGUCCGAGCUUCACAACAGGGCUCUGUGGUAUCCAGGAGCCUGCACUGUAUGGACAGUCUCAGUGGACAACCUUACCCUCACUUUGGAGGGCAGUUGGUCAGUGAGGUGGCUCUGUCCCUGCUGAGUCACUCUAAGUUCACUGUGUCCCUCUGCAAAAGUCUACAGCUUUCAUCAAUCACCUUUUCCUUAUAGCAGCCCUCUGGUUCCAAUCCAGUGCCCACCCUUCUCCACCCAGAUGUGUGCCCUGGAAGGCUGACCUGUGGACUGAUCACUGGGCUUCCAGUUGAAAUUGGCCAGUUGGACGCACCAGCAGAUCUGGCAAUCAGAUAAGAGUGAAAUUGGGGUAUUUAUUCUGCUCCCUUCCUGUGAGGACAAUGUGGACUGUCUGGAUCCUAAUACUGUGAGUCAUAGCUCCUGUCACCUGUUAGGGACCCUCUCCUCACAAUUCUCUGUCCUUGGAAACAGCUCUUUCUCAUGGCCUCUUGAGGCCUAGGGACAGUAAAGGGAGUACUGUUUUUGCUGCCCCAGAUGCUACACUAUUUCUUGUUUCCCCAUACCCUGGCCAGUUCUCUGAAAAGAGCCUCUUUAUCAUAAACUCUCAUAUUUCACAAAUUGAGUCUGCCGUUAUUUUCUGAUGGGACUUUGAUAUAUCUAUGAAAGAGUAUCUGGAUGUCCUCUCUCUGGGCCUUUCUUCCUAGAGGCCAUUGCUACAGGGAUAAUUUAGGACAUUGCUUUUUUAAAGCAAUUCUUUAAUCUCACUGCCUUACCAGACAUCAACUCAGACCCCUCUGGGGUGAGUCAUUCUAUUUGUGUGGGUGGGGUUUGUUAAAAAAAUUUAAGAAUUUUCUCAAAAGUCCAAGUGCAUAGCCCCAAAUGAAAUAAACAACUGAAAAAAAAAAAGGACUGUGCGUUUAAAUGCCUUGGACAGUGACCCACAACUCAGCCCCUCCUUUCUGGGCAGGAUGUGGUCAGAGUACUAUACACGGCUAAGAAAUUUCCCUUUGGGGCCGUUUGUUCAUGCAGUUUGGUGUGGAUGAAAUCAAUUCCAAGUAAUACCUAGAAGUUGAGGUGUUAUAUGUACAGUAUUAGUUGAAGAGCUUUGGAAGAGUCAGGAUAGCAUAUUAAUUUUCUCCUCUCCCAAAGACUGUUAAAAAUGGUUCUUAGUAGGACUCCUUUCCUUUAUUUUGGUCAUAAGCAGUAAAAGGCUGGCUUUCUAUGGCAUGCAGUGGCAGACAGAGACCCACCUGGACCCUUGUCUAUCUGGUGUAAAGCGUGUAAAAGUGCUAAAAACUCCCUGCUCAGAAAUACCUUUCUUCCCAGAAGUUCUGUCACAAUUCCAAAAAUUCCCAUUAUGAACAUGUUACCUUAAGGGUAUUACAGAGUGAUCUGUUUUACUGGGUUAAGGCAUCGUUUUAUGGGAUAAGGACAUUGCACAUCAGCUGGUUGAUGUCUUGGCAGAACGAAAUGUAACUAUCGCCUCCUGGCAUCAUUUGUAGAGAGAAUGGGAAGAUAAGGGUCCUGGUUGGGAAGGAGGUAAACAAAGGUGUGAGGCUUACAGAAUCACUCAGGAACUAGACCUGUUAGGGAGAACACAGUGGUGAGUUAGUGAGUACAGGGGCCACUGAGGUGCCUGAGUGUGCCUGGGUAUGACUAACACUGUCAUCAACUGUGCUGAAAUGUGAAAAUACGGUCCAUGUAAAGUGUUUGGGUCAAAGCUUAUUAAUAAAUAGAUUUCCUUUUCUGUGCCACUCAUAAUGUGGCUGAAAGCUGUCCCAGGCAGGAGAUUGUCAAAGGAUACCUAAGGAUGUGUCAGAGCUUGAAGAAUUAGACCAUUAUGAUAAAUCAGGAGCCAGAAUGGCAAUCAUCUGUCAGGCUGACUGUGAUUAAUUGGUAGUGACUGCCUGAAGUGCAGUUAAGGAGUGUGAGGUGGCAUCUAGUCACAAUGAAUAAAAAUGACAUUGUUGAUUACAGUGGGCUUAUGAGUGUGGGCUUGGACUUGGAGGUAAGGGGAGGUGAUCAUGUGCCACACAUUUGCUAGGCCUACCAAGGGUCUUUUUCUGGUUUAUUCCAUAAUCAAUGUGAUUGCUGGGUUUUGGGGGGCCUUAGACAGGCUUCAGGAAUCCCUAGUACCACCUUCCUGGGGAUUUCCUGUCACUGGAUCAGUUUACAAAGAGUAUAUGCACGAAACUUUUCAUUUCUUCCUAUGAUAAAAUCUGUUAUUUGGGCUAGAUGCCAGAUGAUGGUUUGGGGAUUCAGGCUGGGGUCUAACAGGCCAGGAAGAAUCAUCUCCAAAAGGAAUAACUGGUGAGGAGCAUAUCUUCAUAUGCUUGUUUUCUCAUUCCAUACCUCUACACCAGGUCAGGACUGCAGGAAGCCCUAGGAGUCAUCCUUGACUCCUCUCGUUCCCUCACAUUCUCCAUCUAAUGUAUCAGUAAGAGCUGACAGAAUAUAUGCUCAUAUGAUGCACUUCUCACCCCUACCACUGCCACUUCAGUCCAUCUCUCCUCUGGUCUGAUGGCAUAGGUUCCUGUCUGGCUGCCUGCUUUCACUCUUGUGCUUUGCAGUCUGUCUCCUCACACAUUUUUAAAAACGUAAACCGGGUUACAUCAUUCUUCUGCUUACCACUGUCCAACAGCUUUCCAGCACACCGGAGUAUAAUCAGAAGGCCUCACCAUGGCCUCAGGUAUCCAUGUGAUCUGUGGUCUGAUCCCUGUGCUCUGGUUUCUCUGGCUUCAUCCCCCCCGUUCUCUUUCUCUCUCCCUCUCUUCCAGCCAUCCUGGCCUACCUUCUGUUCCUCCAUCUUGCCAAGCUCAUUUCCAUCUCUGCCCCUUUGCUGGGUAUGUUCUCCCCCCAAAUCUUGAUGUGGCUUUCUCUCUCAUUCUUUCAGGUCUCUUUCAAGUGUUACCUCCUUUCUUGACUCCUUUAUCUGAAGUGACACCUCUUCCCCAGGUUACUCCCUGUUCUCUAACCUUUAUUUUUUCUUCUUGGUGCUGCUCAUUACUAGUGGAUACCAUGUUAAAUCAUUAUUUAUGUAUAGAUUUUUCUUUCCUCCUCCCUGGAAUGUAAGUCUUUGAGGGCAGGAUCUUGUUUAUUGUCAUAGUAUUUAGAAGAAUAUCUAGAACAUAGUACGUAUUCAGGAAAUAUUUAUCAAAUGGAUGCAUGGAUUUUGAAAGUGAAGCGUCUUCACUAGGCCAUGCAGUUGCAUGUCAAAUCAUGUGGAGGAUCAAGACAAUGUGCAAAUCCAUGGCAAGGAGUGGUGCCUGAGUGGCAGGACCAGCUAACUGGUGGUCUAACUAAGGGCUGAUUGGGGAGCCUCGUAGCCUCAGAGAAAGUACAGAGCUUCCAGGGAAUUGUGAGUCAGUGUCAGAAUCCAAGAAAAUGAUUGUGACAGCAGACAAGAGUUCCUAGCACGAAGACAUUAACAUUGAGACACUUUCUCAGAUGGAAGGCUUCCUAAACACUUAUGCCUAGAACAGGGACCACAGUGUAGGGCCUGAGUAGAGUCUGAAGUAGAGCUUAGUUCAGAGAUGGCAAACAGGUUAAUCAAUCCACUGAAUUCUACAGAGUCUGGGGAGAGACUCACAAUCAGCUCCUAAUGCACCAUGGCUGCCACCUCCUUGCAGAUGCUGUCCCAGAAACCAAUUCUUCAAGGGAGAUGUCACUGUGCUGAUGAUCCCCAAGAGGCCAGAGACCAAUGAGUUCAGUGGCCCACUUACAUCUCACAUUGGGGAACUCCACUCAGCAGCAGGGGCCUCUGCACUGGCUGGGAAUCCCCACUGCAGCAGCAGCCUUUGCGGGGUUGAGCUGCAAGCUACUUUUCAGAUUUAGCACGCAGCCUUGUGAGGAGACAAAGUUGUAUUGCCUCUGACGAGAAACAAAGCCAGUGAUGUUGACAUAUAUGGGAAAUGGGAAGAUAUCCAGAGGUUGGAAGCAAAUCUCCAAGCUGGAAGUGUGGCUUGUACUGAUCUUUGUGUGUCCCCAUCUUCAACUGUGUUUGUAGGCUUCCAGGAUCUAUGUAGAAAGAAGUACCUUGCUGUGUGUUUGUAGCUCCGCCCAUCAUUUGAGGGUGAUAAAACCAAGAACUAGUGAUUUUAAGGAACUUGCCAAAUAUUGGAAUCAGUAAGAGGUAAACCUGGGGUCUGAACUCAGAAAGCAUAGUUCCAGAACCUACUUUCCUAACUGCUACAAGGAAGGAAUUGCCAACAUUAAAAAAAAAAAAAAAAAAAAAAAAGUCAAGCGAUUUCACGGAAUCAUGGGAUUCAUGCCCUCUCUUGAACAGUUGUAACAUAUGGUGAGUGUCCACUGGAGGUGAAGAGUAUUCUCCCCUUUUGAUUGGAUACAUGUUCUCAAAUUUGCCUUUCUUUAAUCUAGCCUAGUUCUCUCAUUUGUAUAAUAGCUCGACCUUUGUCUGCAUUUAUUACCCCUGAUCUAAUUCAGUUGUUCUCAGCUGGGGUGAUUUUGCCUCCCCACCGCAGGGGACAUUUGGCAAUGUCUGAAGAUAUAUUUGAUGGUCCUAACUGGGGUGGACUGGGGAUGGGGGUGCUACUGGUGUCUAGUGGGUAAAUGUCAGGCACGCUGCCAAACACCUAAAGAAUUAUGUGUUCCAAAAUGCUGAGGUUGGGUGACACCCAUUGGAUUUAACAUCCCCAUUUCAUAGGUGGGAAAAAAGACUAGAAAGGACAUGAAUUGCUCCAGAUCCCAAAGCAAGUCAAAGUCAAGGGUGGGAGGGUCCACAUAUCUCACUUCUCCCUGACCAUUUCCAGGUUAUAAGCUUUGCAGGCCUUGAACAGAGAUUUUUUUUUAAUUUUUUUUAACGUCUUAUUUAUUUUUGAGACAGAGACAGAGAAAGACAGAGCAUGAGCGGGGGAGGGGCAGAGAGAGGGAGACACAGAAUCGGAAACAGGCUCCAGGCUCCGAGCCAUCAGCCCAGAGCCCGACGCGGGGCUCGAACUCACGGACCGCGAGAUCGUGACCUGAGCCGAAGUCGGACGCCCAACCGACUGAGCCACCCAGGCGCCCCGAACAGAGAUUUUUAUAAAUGAAAUGAAAAGGAAGACUGGACCAAGUAUUAAGUCACAAUUUUCACUUCAAAGUCGCUGCCAGUGGCUACCAAUCCAAGGCCAGGGCUUCAAAAGAAAUGAGUUCUUGCCUCCUGGGCUCCCAUCUCUGACACCUCCAGCUAAGACGUUUCUGACCGGAGCAUGGUCCUGGCAAGGUGUUCUUCAUGCCAGCCAGACCUGUCUACAGCCACUAGAGCCUGGCCUACACUCCUGCUGAACCUGGCUUUCCCCCUGCUGCGGCUCACAUACCCCCUUAUCAUGGACUCCUCCUCCCCAACCCUAUCUCCUCUCCCUAGAGACACUCUCACGUUCCACUUCCUCCACUCAGCCUUCCUUUAAUUCUCCUAACUGAAGAACCUCUUCUUUUUACUUUCUGAAAUGACCAUGUAAGUCACAUGUAGAUGGUGAUGAUAACUAUAGGAGCAAUACAGCUAAGCUAACACCUGACGAUGGUCUAUUCUGCUCCCCAGCACUGUAUACACUCUUGACCCACAUUAUCUCAUUUAACUCUCAUGGAGCUCCUAUGAAAUAUGAACUUUUAUUUGUAUUGCUGAGUAAGCCGCCUUAGCAAGGUUGCAUAAAUUGUUCAAAAUCUCAUAGCUCAUUUUAUGUCUUAUGUAAAUUAUUUGUAUUCUCUUUUAUUUAUCCUCCAAAUGGUAAUUGAGAUCAGGGAGCAUUCUUUGUUCAGCUGUGACCCCUAUUCUAAGCCUAUGGAGUAUCUUGUGCAUGGUGGGCAGUAAAUCACCAAUUUGCUGAAGAGUCUCAGAAUUCACAACUUUUGCCACCAAAUUGGUCAUGUUUUUUGGUGCUGAAUUUUAUUUUAUUUAAAAUUUUUUUCUUGUUAUCUAUCAAGCAUACACCUGUGUUCUAUGUAAUGUAAGUCGAGAUGGGGAGCAAAAAAAGUGUUUCUAAGAAGUUUGGAAUAAAUUGAUUCCUGUUUUCCUUCUGUUAUAGUUUGAGAGAGGGUCUGUCUUUAUUUGAGAGGGAUCCUGAAGUCUCUGCUUCAGGAAGUUACAAACAAAUUUAGGAGCACUUUCAAUUUGUAAAGAAACUCUGCUCAAAAUGCAAAGAAUCCUUCUGAGUGUCUCCUGGUGAUCCCUUUGUUUUCAAAGUUUGCAUUUUUGCUUAUUGGCAUAUAUUUUUUAAAGCAGGGCAUUGCCUGACACAAUGUGGGGGGCACAUCCCUUUGGAAAAACUGAAUGUCGCUGGGCUUGGGGUAGGAAUCAUUCAAAAGCUACUCAAAUGAUUUAUUAAAUAGAAAGUCAGGAGCAUAGAUUCAAGGUCACGAGUUAGAACUGUGGGGUUGAGAAGGAGCUCAAUUUUCUUGGAAAUAAUAAGGCUGACCUUUUAGGAGGGUAGCUUUGGGGAGACAGUUGUAUAGAGAAGUCCUCAAGAUUCACAUGCAGAGGGACACAAUUUUGGUAAAUGCAUUCAGCUGCCUUUUGCUCUGAUUUCUGAGCUGCUGGUGCUCCUGGAUUUGAGAUGGCUUUCAGAGAACCAGAGGCUCCUUAUGCAGCCCCACAUCUAGGUGGCCAUUUCAUAUUCUUGUGAGGGGCCCAGGGGACAGAGAUGGAAGUGUCUGAGGUGUGGGGGAAAAGUGAGGAAGGUCAGGAAAGAGGCUAGGGUAACCAGAUUGCUUAUCAAACAAGUGGAAUAGACAUGGAGGGGAAAUGGUCAUUCAGCGUUUCUCUUUCUCUUUUCUGGGCACCUUGUCCAGGAGCCACUCCUCUAACCCUUGAUGAGGGAUGGUCACUAAAGCAUCCCCACUUUGCACAUAGAGGCACCAUAAAUGGCCUGCCCUUGGUGGGACCGGAUUUGCAGCAUUUCCUGCACUGAGCAUGAAGUCCUAUUACUUUCUCUGCACUGCUCUGGCUUUGGUUAGGGUUGUUCUGGGUCAUAGGUAAGCCAGAGAUACCAGGCCACCAUGGGGUUGUGCCCUCCUUGAAAGCAUUACGAUGCUGGAUGCCUUGACUGGCUCUAGCCCCCUGGGCUGUGUGUACACAGGCAUUGGACUGUGCAUUGACACACUCUUCGGCCUGGACCCACAGCUGUGCAGACCUGGGCCUGCGGAAGCCAUGGAUGUUGCUCUGCUGGCCAACACUGGCAAGGAAACCUGAGCCCUUCUAUUGUCGGCCCCACAGACAGGCUGAGCAGGCAGUCUAGGGAGACGCAUUGUGAUUCAGAGGAUACUGAAAGGCGGCACAACCAUAUAUGUCGUAAACAUGGAUCACUUAUAAGCAUGGAAAGGGGCACUAAUUAAUAAUUAUGUUGGGGCCACAAGCAAAAAAAUGGAGUUGAAUCUGGAAAACCUGGAAUCACUGUACCUAAAGGUACCUUGGUCUCAAUUCAACUUAACAUUUCUUAAGCAUCUCUGCACCAGUCAUCAUCCCCUUUCACAACUGGGCAUGGACCUGUCAACAAGUAAUGCCAGGAUAGAAGAUUAGAUGCAAUUGUGGAAAUGGGGAGAAACCAAAAGGAGGGAAAGUUUACUCUCUGGGCAGGGGUGGGAAGGGGGCACAGGGAAGAUGUUAAUGCAAGGAGUUUUCAAAGACAUGUUUUGGAGGCAUAUGGAUGGCAGAAGGGGGUUCUAGAAAGGGAGAACAGCAAGUGCAAAGUCACAGAUACUUGAAAGCACAGAGCACAUUUGAAGGAUUGUAAGAAAAUGGAGAGUAAAGUGGGAAGUGGGAGUGACAGGAGAUAAAGCUAAAUGGAAGCCAGGUCACAAGCCGCCCGUAGGCCAGGCCGGACAGCUUGGACAUGCUUGGAACAGGAUUGGCAAUUGUGGCCCAUGGGCUAAAUCUAGUCUGCCCUUUGUUUUUGUAAACCAAGUUUUAUUAGACUUCAACCAAGCUCAUUCAUUAUGUGUCAUAUAAGGCUGCUUUCACACUACAACAGCAGAGUUGAGUUGCAACAGACUACAUGGCCCGCCAAACCUAAAAUACCUGCUCUCUCUGGGGCACCUGGGUGGCUCAGUCAGUUGAGCAUCUGACUUCAGCUCAGGUCAUGAUCUCGCAGUUCAUGAGUUCGAGCCCCACAUUGGGCUCACUGCCAUCAACCUGUCAGCGCAGAGCCCGUUAUGGAUCCUCUGUCCCCCUCUCUCUCUGCCCCUACCCCACUUAUGCUCUUUCUCUGUCUCUC
Acinonyx jubatus (cheetah) is the source of this 14261-nucleotide long non-coding RNA. RefSeq lists it as uncharacterized. NCBI's taxonomy places the organism in Eukaryota, Metazoa, Chordata, Mammalia, Carnivora, Felidae. The transcript has 7 exons. The record is from RefSeq and is a predicted model, not a curated record.